Molecule: long non-coding RNA, 917 nt
Organism: Oncorhynchus keta (chum salmon)
Lineage: Eukaryota; Metazoa; Chordata; Actinopteri; Salmoniformes; Salmonidae
Exons: 3
Source: RefSeq, a predicted model, not a curated record
CUGACUGGAUGUCACUGGAGGGUUGGCAGUUUGAAUCCCAUGUCUGACUGGAUGUUACUGGAGGGUUGGCAGUUUGAAUCCCAUAUCUGACUGGAUGUCACUGGAGGGUUGGCAGUUUGAAUCCCAUGUCUGACUGGAUGUCACUGGAGGGUUGGCAGUUUGAAUCCCAUAUCUGACUGGAUGUCACUGGAGGGUUGGCAGUUUGAAUCCCAUGUCUGACUGGAUGUCACUGGAGGGUUGGCAGUUUGAAUCCCAUGUCUGACUGGAUGUCACUGGAGGGUUGGCAGUUUGAAUCCCAUGUCUGACUGGAGGGUUGGCAGUUUGAAUCCCAUGUCUGACUGGAGGGUUGGCAGUUUGAAUCCCAUGUCUGACUGGAGGGUUGGCAGUUUGAAUCGCAUGUCUGACUGGAGGGUUGGCAGUUUGAAUCCCAUGUCUGACUGGAGGGUUGGCAGUUUGAAUCCCAUGUCUGACUAGAUGUCACUGGAGGGUUGGCAGUUUGAAUCCCAUAUCUGACUGGAUGUCACUGGAGGGUUGGCAGUUUGAAUCCCAUAUCUGACUGGAUGUCACUGGAGGGUUGGCAGUUUGAAUCCCAUAUCUGACUGGAUGUCACUGGAGGGUUGGCAGUUUGAAUCCCAUGUCUGACUGGAUGUCACUGGAGGGUUGGCAGUUUGAAUCCCAUGUCUGACUGGAUGUUACUGGAGGGUUGGCAGUUUGAAUCCCAUAUCUGACUGGAUGUCACUGGAGGGUUGGCAGUUUGAAUCCCAUGUCUGACUGGAUGUCACUGGAGGGUUGGCAGUUUGAAUCCCAUGUCUGACUGGAGGGUUGGCAGUUUGAAUCCCAUGUCUGACUGGAGGGUUGGCAGUUUGAAUCCCAUGUCUGACUGGAGGGUUGGCAGUUUGAAUCCAUGUCUGACUGGA